CAGCUGAUCAGCCAUGCCGCGUGUGUGAAGAAGGCCUUCGGGUUGUAAAGCACUUUCAGUGGGGAAGAAAGCCUUGGGCCCAAUACGUCCGAGGAAGGACAUCACCCACAGAAGAAGCACCGGCUAACUCCGUGCCAGCAGCCGCGGUAAUACGGAGGGUGCGAGCGUUAAUCGGAAUUACUGGGCGUAAAGCGCGCGUAGGCGGUCUGAUAAGCCGGUUGUGAAAGCCCCGGGCUCAACCUGGGAACGGCAUCCGGAACUGUCAGGCUAGAGUGCAGGAGAGGAAGGUAGAAUUCCCGGUGUAGCGGUGAAAUGCGUAGAGAUCGGGAGGAAUACCAGUGGCGAAGGCGGCCUUCUGGACUGACACUGACGCUGAGGUGCGAAAGCGUGGGUAGCAAACAGAGAUUAGAUACCCUGGUAGUCCACGCCGUAAACUAUGUCAACUACCCGUUGGGCACCUUGUGACCUUUGUGGCGCAGUUAACGCGAUAAGUCGACCGCCUGGGGAGUACGGCCGCAA
Molecule: ribosomal RNA, 519 nt
Filed under: uncultured bacterium
Lineage: Bacteria
Description: bacterial SSU rRNA
Rfam family: Bacterial small subunit ribosomal RNA
Source: RNAcentral